AAGUCGUAACAAGGUUUCCGUAGGUGAACCUGCGGAAGGAUCAUUGUCGUGACCCUUAAACAAAACAGACCGUGAAUGUGUUAUCCAUGCCACUCGAGCUUCUGCUCGAGCUAGGCCCCAACCUUCCAUUCGGGGGGAGGGGCCACAAAAGAACCCACGGCGCCGAAGGCGUCAAGGAACACUGAUAUUGCCUUGCUCGGGGUUGCGGUCGGCCUGCCGAUCGCACCUCGUGUAGCGAUUCUAUCUUAAUCCACACGACUCUCGGCAACGGAUAUCUCGGCUCUC
Molecule: unclassified non-coding RNA, 285 nt
Filed under: air metagenome
Description: partial contains small subunit ribosomal RNA, internal transcribed spacer 1, and 5.8S ribosomal RNA
Rfam family: Eukaryotic small subunit ribosomal RNA (bases 1-46)
Source: RNAcentral